GUGCUCACUUCAGCAGCCCAUGUACUAAAAUUAGGAUGAUACUGAGAAGAUUAGUAUGGCCCCUGAGGGAGGAUGACGCACAAAUUCGUGAAGUGUCCACAUUUUUU
This is a small nuclear RNA of Diceros bicornis minor, 107 nucleotides long. NCBI's taxonomy places the organism in Eukaryota, Metazoa, Chordata, Mammalia, Perissodactyla, Rhinocerotidae. The record is from RefSeq and is a predicted model, not a curated record.